CAUUUGACUGGGAAAUAAUAACUAUUACUGGAAGAAAAAAGUAGCAAAACAUUAUUUCCUAAUAUGUGCGAACAUAAUGAGGAGCCAGGUCUCCAGCUUUAAGGGUGAUUAUUAUCGUUUUUGGCUAUUGCCACUUACCAACGCUAAGUACUUUAGCUGUGUAACUUGAUUUGAAUAGCAUCGCCAGAAGAGCACCAUCAAAGCCUUUUGAUAAGAUGCUACCAAGAAAAUAUGAUAAUAUAUAACCCCAAGAAAAUUAUUUUAUCAUCUUGGUAUAUCUAUAAAAAUAGAACCAAAUAAAAAAACAGUAUAAAUAAUAAAAAUCUUCCUCGCUGGGGUUUUGUGAAGGAUACCAACUAGCACUCAUGAAGUAUUGUGAGUUUCCUGGAAGGAAGGCCUUUUGUAAGUUCAAGGUAUUGCUAUUCACUAGUCAUUGGCCAUAACAUUGCACAUGAUAGAUGGGAAAUGGGAGAGUGGGAGAGUUAAGUAAUUAAGCUAAAAUCACCCAGUGAACUGGGGAAAACCCAAAAGUAUAAAGAGAUCUAAAUCUGUUCAUUGGAGGAAUGCAGACAUAUCUGGACAAAGCCCCAGAGUUUAAGUGACAAGAACACCUAACAAAACUUGAAGUCCUAGGCAUGUAGCCAAAUAAUACAAAUAUCCUUGUUAAAUGCAGGUGUAUCCACACCAGUCAGUCCUUGUCCUUGGAGGAGAGCUAAGGUGGGUCCUGCUGAGGACAGAGACUCUUCUGUUUGAUUUGCAGGUAUAGCCAGUAGUUGACCCUCUGAGCCCAACGCUGCAGAGAACACAGUGAACCUAGUAAACUGAGUGUGGCUGUCUCCCCAGGGCGGCUCUCUGAGAAUUCCUCCUAGGUCCCUGAUAGAGAUAGGUAGAUGGGUUAUAGGCGGAAAGAGACAAAGUGCCUUGAACUCUGUGGGUUAGAAUCCUGUCUUCAACUCCUAGACACUUAAAAAAAAAGUCUUGCCUGCACUCAUGGCCUUUCAACCAGGAAUGCAUAACAGAAAGACUUUAUGGUAAUCAAAUGGGAAAGACGGGGCAAGAGUUUUUAAGCAGUCAGUGUUAAGAGAAAAAAGGAAAGCCAUGUCUGUGUUGUCUAACUCAAGGUUAUAUUUUGUAGCACCUAAUGGCAACUAUUAAACAAGGACGUACUCUUAUCUAAUUUGCGCUGUUGUCUUCCCAGGAUCUGGAACAUUUUCUGCAAGAGUCCACCUUUAUCUCUAGAAGCCUCUGGCAAACAGUCCCUUUCAGCUCAGGUCCUUUUGUAGAAAGAACUUGAUGCUGAAAGCAACUCGCCCCUUCUGCCCUCAGCCCCGCUCUCCCACCUACCCUCCCCACCGUGGUUAACUUGUUUUUCAUCUUUGUUCUGAGUCGCUCUAGGCUGGUUCAAUUUUUAUUUCUGUUAACUUUUAAUGAGUUAGUAAUUCAAUGAUCCUGGCUUUGAAUCUUUGGAACUGCAGGUUGUUAGUAAGGAUUGAAUCAGCUUGUUGGCUCCUAAUGGACUCUGAAAUUCAGUAACAUUCACAGUGUGUUUGUUCAUUCCGUUGACUGCCCAGUCCCAGUAGGAACAAUGACCAACAGAGAAGAAUCCAGGGCCAGAGGAUCUACUACCACAGAACAUUUCUAGACGUCAAUUCCUGGUAUGAAAGGAUUGGGAGUUAACAGAAGAGCCACAGAGAGGACUCUGGAUUCUCAGCUAGUGUUUGAUACUAUUUAAGGGUUCCAUCAGUUUAGUGCUCACACAGCAUUUAUUAGCUAUGCGAACUUGACCAGAUGAAGAAACUGAGACUUAGAAAGGAAGAAAGAGUCACCCAGGUAGCUGAUCACAGAAUCUCUCCCUAGGGAUCUAGGAAGAAAGUGCUAACAUUGCUAAGUCAUGCUGCUUGAGAAGGGUUAAUCUGGCUUCUCAAUUUCUAAGUUCCAAAGCACAUCGUGGACCUGCAGAUAAACUAAAUGUUCAACAACACUUUCCAUAAGUACUCAUUGAUGUCCACCUUGUUGGACAAGACAUUGUGCUAAUCUUUGGAAUAUUGCUGUUAACCUGAGAGACAUUAGAGGAGCUUCCAUUCCAUUCAGGGAGACAGCUAUGAAACACCUGGUUAUGUGUGUGGUUGCCUUGUGAUAAACACUAUGGAGACGCAUAUACCAGAGGUUCUGACUUAAGCUGGUAUGCUGGUCAGAAAGACUUCCCUGAGGAAAGAAUUUGUAAACUAAGUGCUAAAGGGUGAGUAGGAAAAAAUCAACUAGAAAAGAAAUGGAGGAAAAGCAUUUCUGGCAGAAUAGCAUGUUCAAGAACUUGGAGCAUUUGCAUACUAGAGGAAGGCCAGUGUGCUAUACCCAGAGGCUGAGUGAGGCAGGAAGAUGACAUGGAACUAUGGGAACAGGUUGGGGCCAAAUUCUCCAGAGCUUCAGACCCACACUAAGCAUUUUUUUUAAGAUAGAGUCUUGUUCUGUCGCCAGACUGGAGUGCAAUG
Molecule: long non-coding RNA, 2489 nt
Organism: Sapajus apella (tufted capuchin)
Lineage: Eukaryota; Metazoa; Chordata; Mammalia; Primates; Cebidae
Exons: 4
Source: RefSeq, a predicted model, not a curated record